This 672-nucleotide ribosomal RNA is filed under the name uncultured Alphaproteobacteria bacterium. RNAcentral describes it as "bacterial SSU rRNA". It matches the Rfam family "Bacterial small subunit ribosomal RNA", at positions 8 to 726 of the family's 1533-position model. Lineage: Bacteria; Pseudomonadati; Pseudomonadota; Alphaproteobacteria. The record is from RNAcentral.
AGAGUUUGAUCCUGGCUCAGAACGAACGCUGGCGGCAUGCCUAACACAUGCAAGUCGAACGAGACCUUCGGGUCUAGUGGCGCACGGGUGCGUAACGCGUGGGAAUCUGCCCUUAGGUUCGGAAUAACUCAGAGAAAUUUGAGCUAAUACCGGAUGAUGACGUAGUCCAAAGAUUUAUCGCCUAGGGAUGAGCCCGCGUAAGAUUAGCUUGUUGGUGAGGUAAAGGCUCACCAAGGCGACGAUCUUUAGCUGGUCUGAGAGGAUGAUCAGCCACACUGGGACUGAGACACGGCCCAGACUCCUACGGGAGGCAGCAGUGGGGAAUAUUGGACAAUGGGCGAAAGCCUGAUCCAGCAAUGCCGCGUGAGUGAUGAAGGCCUUAGGGUUGUAAAGCUCUUUUACCAGGGAUGAUAAUGACAGUACCUGGAGAAUAAGCUCCGGCUAACUCCGUGCCAGCAGCCGCGGUAAUACGGAGGGAGCUAGCGUUGUUCGGAAUUACUGGGCGUAAAGCGUGCGUAGGCGGUUAUUCAAGUCAGAGGUGAAAGCCUGGAGCUCAACUCCAGAACUGCCUUUGAAACUAGAUAGCUAGAAUCUGGGAGAGGUGAGUUGGAAUUCCGAGUGUAGAGGUAAAAUUCGUAGAUUUUCGGAAGAACACCAGUGGCGAAGGCGGGU